This 441-nucleotide ribosomal RNA is filed under the name uncultured bacterium. RNAcentral describes it as "bacterial SSU rRNA". It matches the Rfam family "Bacterial small subunit ribosomal RNA", at positions 29 to 506 of the family's 1533-position model. The record is from RNAcentral.
ACGAACGCUGGCGGCAGGCCUAACACAUGCAAGUCGAACGAGAAGCCACCUUCGGGUGGUGGACAGUGGCAGACGGGUGAGUAACGCGUGGGAACGUGCCUUUCGGUUCGGGAUAACCCAGGGAAACUUGGGCUAAUACCGGAUACGCCCUUCGGGGGAAAGAUUCAUUGCCGAAAGAUCGGCCCGCGUCGGAUUAGCUUGUUGGUGGGGUAAUGGCCUACCAAGGCGACGAUCCGUAGCUGGUCUGAGAGGAUGACCAGCCACACUGGGACUGAGACACGGCCCAGACUCCUACGGGAGGCAGCAGUGGGGAAUAUUGGACAAUGGGCGAAAGCCUGAUCCAGCCAUGCCGCGUGGGUGAAGAAGGCCUUAGGGUUGUAAACCCCUUUCAGCGGGGACGAUAAUGACGGUACCCGCAGAAGAAGUCCCGGCUAACUCCGU